CAGUCGCCGCGGUAAUACGAAGGGGGCUAGCGUUGUUCGGAUUUACUGGGCGUAAAGGGCGCGUAGGCGGGCGAAUAAGUCAGGGGUGAAAUCCCAAGGCUCAACCUUGGAACUGCCUUUGAUACUGUUUGUCUUGAGUUCGAGAGAGGUAAGUGGAACUGCGAGUGUAGAGGUGAAAUUCGUAGAUAUUCGCAAGAACACCAGUGGCGAAGGCGGCUUACUGGCUCGAAACUGACGCUGAGGCGCGAAAGCGUGGGGAGCAAACAGGAUUAGAGACCCGCGUAGUCCCUGUCUCUUAUAA
Molecule: ribosomal RNA, 301 nt
Filed under: uncultured bacterium
Lineage: Bacteria
Description: partial 16S ribosomal RNA
Rfam family: Bacterial small subunit ribosomal RNA
Source: RNAcentral